RNAcentral lists this ribosomal RNA (200 nucleotides) under uncultured bacterium. RNAcentral describes it as "partial 16S ribosomal RNA". It matches the Rfam family "Bacterial small subunit ribosomal RNA", at positions 1300 to 1500 of the family's 1533-position model. The record is from RNAcentral.
GCAGGCUGCAACCCGCCUGCAUGAAGUCGGAAUUGCUAGUAAUCGCGGAUCAGCAUGCCGCGGUGAAUACGUUCCCGGGCCUUGUACACACCGCCCGUCACACCAUGGGAGCCGGUAAUACCCGAAGUCAGUAGUCCAACCACGUGAGGACGCUGCCGAAGGUAGGAUUGGCGACUGGGGUGAAGUCGUAACAAGGUACC